GACGAACGCUGGCGGCGUGCCUAACACAUGCAAGUCGAACGGAAAGGCCAUGCUCUUGUGGGGUGCUCGAGUGGCGAACGGGUGAGUAACACGCGAGUAACCUGCCCCUGUCAUUGGGAUAACUUCAGGAAAAUGGGGCUAAUACCGGAGAGGAGAUCCUGCUGCACGGUGGGGGUUGGAAAGUUUCGGCGGUUGGGGAUGGACUAGAGGCUUAGGCGCUUGUUGGUGGGGUAGUGGCUUACAAAGGCUUUGAAGGGUAGCCGGCCUGAGAGGGUGACCGGCGUCCAUGGUACUGAGGUACGGCCCAGUCUCCUACGGGAGGCAGUAGUGGGGAAUAUUGCGCAGUGGGCGCAAGCCUGUGACAGCAGCGCCGCGUUCGGGAUAACGUGCUACGGGUUAUGAACCACUUUCGCCUUAAACGUAGCCGUAGUGACGGUAAUGGGUCAGGAAGCACCGGCUAACUACGUG
RNAcentral lists this ribosomal RNA (468 nucleotides) under uncultured bacterium. RNAcentral's name for it is "partial 16S ribosomal RNA". It matches the Rfam family "Bacterial small subunit ribosomal RNA", at positions 28 to 507 of the family's 1533-position model. The record is from RNAcentral.